GACGAACGCUGGCGGCGUGCUUAACACAUGCAAGUCGUACGGUAAGGCCCUUUCGGGGGUACACGAGUGGCGCACGGGUGAGUAACACGUGAGUAACCUGCCCACAACUUUGGGAUAACGCUAGGAAACUGGUGCUAAUACUGGAUAUGUGCUCCUGCUGCAUGGUGGGGGUUGGAAAGCUCCGGCGGUUGUGGAUGGACUCGCGGCCUAUCAGCUUGUUGGUGGGGUAGUGGCCUACCAAGGCGGCGACGGGUAGCCGGCCUGAGAGGGUGACCGGCCACAUUGGGACUGAGAUACGGCCCAGACUCCGACGGGAGGCAGCAGUGGGGAAUAUUGCACAAUGGGCGCAAGCCGGAUGCAGCAACGCCGCGUGCGGGAUGACGGCCUUCGGGUUGUAAACCGCUUUCAGCAGGGACGAAGCUUUUUGUGACGGUACCUGCAGAAGAAGCACCGGCUAACUACGUG
RNAcentral lists this ribosomal RNA (465 nucleotides) under uncultured bacterium. Its description in RNAcentral is "partial 16S ribosomal RNA". It matches the Rfam family "Bacterial small subunit ribosomal RNA", at positions 28 to 507 of the family's 1533-position model. The record is from RNAcentral.